UACGGAGGAUCCGAGCGUUAUCCGGAUUUGUUGGGUUUAAAGGGUGCGCAGGCGGGAUGUUAAGUCGGCGGUGAAAUUUUGCAGCUCAACUGUAAAAGUGCCUUCGAAACUGGUUUCCUUGAGUGUAGAUGAAGUAGGCGGAAUUUGUGGUGUAGCGGUGAAAUGCAUAGAUAUCACGAGGAACUCCGAUUGCGCAGGCAGCUUACUAAACUACUACUGACGCUCAGGCACGAAGGCGUGGGGAUCAAACAGGAUUAGAUACCCUGGUA
RNAcentral lists this ribosomal RNA (269 nucleotides) under uncultured prokaryote. RNAcentral describes it as "partial 16S ribosomal RNA". It matches the Rfam family "Bacterial small subunit ribosomal RNA", at positions 524 to 792 of the family's 1533-position model. The record is from RNAcentral.